AAGUCGUAACAAGGUUUCCGUAGGUGAACCUGCGGAAGGAUCAUUAAUGAAUUCGAAUCGGUCGUCUGUGCUGGUGGCAACACAUGUGCACGUCGAUCAUCAUUCCAUUCUCCUUUCAAUCGUCCAAGUGUGUGUCUGGUCGACCUCGGUCGAAGAGUUGUGGCCCUCGGGCUCAAUUUGUUCCAGAUGUGCCUUGGUUAUUUCACCCACUCUGGGUAUUUGAAACAAAGAAAUUUUUAUAUAAACCAUACAACUUUCAACAACGGAUCUCUUGGCUCUC
Molecule: unclassified non-coding RNA, 280 nt
Filed under: Serendipita indica
Lineage: Eukaryota; Fungi; Basidiomycota; Agaricomycetes; Sebacinales; Serendipitaceae
Description: partial internal transcribed spacer region
Rfam family: Eukaryotic small subunit ribosomal RNA (bases 1-46)
Source: RNAcentral